Molecule: small nucleolar RNA, 144 nt
Organism: Mastomys coucha (southern multimammate mouse)
Lineage: Eukaryota; Metazoa; Chordata; Mammalia; Rodentia; Muridae
Product: small nucleolar RNA SNORA48
Exons: 1
Source: RefSeq, a predicted model, not a curated record
UCCUCCUCUCAAUGGGCAAAGAGAUACAUUGUUGGUUGUAUUAGACUUACAUCAGUCAGGUGCUGAACAGAUGAACUUCCAUUGUUUAUCCAAGCUUGAUACCUGGCUCGGUGGCCAAAGCUGUUUUAUGCCUAGGACUCAUUU